CUGACGUUAGCGGCGGACGGGUGAGUAACACGUGGGUAACCUACCUAUAAGACUGGGAUAACUCCGGGAAACCGGGGCUAAUACCGGAUAACACAUGAAACCGCAUGGUUUCAUGAUGAAAGACGGUUUUGCUGUCACUUAUAGAUGGACCCGCGCCGUAUUAGCUAGUUGGUAAGGUAACGGCUUACAAGGCAACGAUACGUAGCCGACCUGAGAGGGUGAUCGGCCACACUGGAACUGAGACACGGUCCAG
This 253-nucleotide ribosomal RNA is filed under the name uncultured Staphylococcus sp. RNAcentral's name for it is "partial 16S ribosomal RNA". It matches the Rfam family "Bacterial small subunit ribosomal RNA", at positions 86 to 334 of the family's 1533-position model. Lineage: Bacteria; Bacillati; Bacillota; Bacilli; Caryophanales; Staphylococcaceae. The record is from RNAcentral.